AUUCGGGUGUCUUUUAUGAAUAAUCAAAAGCAGCAAAAGGCAACGCUAUCAGGCCAGCAUUUUAAAACCAGAAAAAGAGAUGAAAAAGAGAGGUUUGACCCUACUCAGUUUCAAGACUGUAUUAUUCAAGGCUUAACUGAAACUGGUACUGAUUUGGAAGCAGUAGCAAAGUUUCUUGAUGCUUCUGGAGCAAAACUUGAUUAUCGCCGAUAUGCAGAAACACUCUUUGACAUUCUGGUGGCCGGUGGAAUGCUGGCCCCAGGUGGUACACUGGCAGAUGACAUGAUGCGUACAGAUGUUAGUGUGUUUGCAGCAAAAGAGGACCUAGAGACCAUGCAAGCAUUUGCUCAGGUUUUUAACAAGUUAAUCAGGUGCUACAAAUACCUGGAGAAAAGUUUUGAAGAUGGAAGUUAAAAAGCUGCUGCUGUUCUUAAAGGGUUUUUCAGAGUCGGAGAGGAACAAGCUGGCUAUGUUGACUGGUGUUCUUCUGGCUAAUGGAACACUUAAUGCAUCCAUUCUUAAUAGCCUUUAUCAUGAGAAUUUGGUUAAAGAAGGGGUUUCAGCAGCUUUUGCUGUAAAGCUCUUUAAAUCAUGGAUAAAUGAAAAAGAUAUCAAUGCAGUAGCUCCAAGUCUUCGGAAAGUGAGCAUGGAUAACAGACUGAUGGAACUUUUUCCUGCCAAUAACCAAAGCGUUGAACACUUCACAAAGUAUUUUACUGAGGCAGGCUUGAAAGAGCUUUCACAGUAUGUUUGCAAUCAGCAAACCAUAGGAGCUCGUAAGGAACUCCAGAAAGAACUUCAAGAACAGAUGUCCCGUGGUGAUCCAUUUAAGGAUACAAUUUUGUAUGUCAAGGAGGAGAUGAAGAAAAACAACAUCCCAGAACCAGCUGUCACUGGAAUAGUAUGGUCCAGUGUAAUGAGCACCGUGGAAUGGAACAAAAAAGAGGAGCUUGUAGCAGAGCAAGCCAUCAAGCACUUGAAGCAAUACAGCCCUCUACUUGCUGCCUUUACAACUCAAGGUCAGUCUGCGCUGAUUCUGUUACUGAAGAUUCAGGAGUAUUGCUAUGACAACAUUCAUUUCAUGAAAGCCUCCCAGAAAAUAGUGGUGCUUUUUUAUAAAGCUGAAGUUCUGAGUGAAGAACCCAUUCUGAAGUGGUAUAAAGAUGCACAUGUUGCCAAGGGGAAAAGUGUCUUCCUUGAACAAAUGAAAAAGUUUGUAGAGCGGCUCAAAAAUGCUGAAGAAGAAUCUGAGUCUGAAGCUGAAGGAGGUGACUGAAUUUGAAACUACACCCUCAGUAAAGCAAACAGGAGUUGUAGAUAAAAUAUCAUGUCUCCUGUGUCCUGGUUCUUACAUCUUCCUACCUCCCUAUAUCAAGCACGAUAUAAGGGCUUUCAUGGCAAAUUUUAACUGUUUCUACGGUUACUGGAAAUGUUGGAUUUAGUUUCUGAAACCAUGUUUUAAGUAGCUACAGGAGCUAUAGAUUUGAAUUUAAUGUUGCAUUAGUCUUUUCACUUAUAUUCUACCUCCUGUAUUUUCUACUGUAAUAAUGUAAUUUAAGGCCUUCCACAAUGAACAGUUCACUUUUCCCCUGGGUUUUCUAUAUCAACAGUUUUCAAGAUAUGAUUUGGUUAAAAAUAAUUUGUUAUAAAAAUUGUUUGCAAAUUAAACUGUAAAAGUAAAAAAAAAAAAAAUAAUAUUCAUGUAUGUCUUGGUGCUCACGCACAUCCUUUCCUGUGGAGUAUAUAGUUAGGAACAGAACUGCUCUGUUAUGCUUUUGUGUAACUUAGUAGAUAAUGGCAAAUUGCUUUCCAAGGUCACUCUACCAAUUUACAUUCUUACCAGCAGUGAAUAAGUACUGUUUGUUCUAUGUUCUUACCAACACAGUAUUAACUUUUUCAUUUCAGCCAUUUUAAUGGGUAUGCAGAGAUAUCUUACUGUGGUCUUAAUUUGCAAUUCCCUGUUGAUGAAUUAAGUUGAAUAUUUUGCAUACGUUCAUUGGCUACUGGAUAGUCUCUUUUAUAAAAAGUACCUAUUCAAGCCUUCUGUCCUUUUUAAAAAUUGGAUUGCCUAACUUUUUCAUACUAUUUGUAUGAGUUCUUUUU
This is an RNA transcript of Aethalodelphis obliquidens (Pacific white-sided dolphin), 2103 nucleotides long. It is a transcript of the gene named basic leucine zipper and W2 domain-containing protein 1 pseudogene, with no coding region annotated. The transcript has a single exon. The record is from RefSeq and is a predicted model, not a curated record. Lineage: Eukaryota; Metazoa; Chordata; Mammalia; Artiodactyla; Delphinidae.